GAUGAAGAACGUAGCGAAAUGCGAUACGUAAUGUGAAUUGCAAAUUCAGUGAAUCAUCGAGUCUUUGAACGCACAUUGCGCCCCCUGGUAUUCCGGGGGGCAUGCCUGUCCGAGCGUCAUUGCUGCCCUCAAGCACGGCUUGUGUGUUGGGCCCCGUCCUCCGAUCCCGGGGGACGGGCCCGAAAGGCAGCGGCGGCACCGCGUCCGGUCCUCGAGCGUAUGGGGCUUUGUCACCCGCUCUGUAGGCCCGGCCGGCGCUUGCCGAUCAACCCAAAUUUUUAUCCAGGUUGACCUCGGAUCAGGUAGGGAUACCCGCUGAACUUAAGCAUAUCAAUAAGCGGAGGA
RNAcentral lists this unclassified non-coding RNA (345 nucleotides) under soil metagenome. Its description in RNAcentral is "partial contains 5.8S ribosomal RNA, internal transcribed spacer 2, and large subunit ribosomal RNA". The stretch from base 1 to 119 matches the Rfam family "5.8S ribosomal RNA", at positions 35 to 154 of the family's 154-position model. The record is from RNAcentral.